CAUUAAAUAUCUUAAAAUAAAGAAUUAAAUUUUUAAUUUAAAAAUAAUAUAAUUAUAUUUUUAAUGA
This 67-nucleotide transfer RNA is filed under the name Proterops sp. QL-2014. Its description in RNAcentral is "tRNA-Lys". Lineage: Eukaryota; Metazoa; Arthropoda; Insecta; Hymenoptera; Braconidae. The record is from RNAcentral.